AAUGUGAAGUAAGGUUGGCCAGCCAUGUUUUUGAAUAAUAUCACUGGCUAAACAAUUAUAAGCAUAUUUUCGUUAUUUUUUAACGCAACCCUUCCAGAUUCUUUGUUUAACCCAUAGCAACGCCCUUGACAACGAAAAUGCUUUUCUUUUUUUCGAAAACGCAAUCUUCGGAAAUGACGUCACACCUAGAAGUGCGAGCGAAGUCCGCCAUAGAACAGUAUUGUUUGUUGCAUUGUUUCUCGGUAAGAUGCCACGGCGGUGUGUGGCGAUGUUUUGUUCUCACUCUAACGAAAAGUUGUUUGAGUGGCCAAAGGAUAGCAGGGCACCUAAAUGGACAUCUUUCGUUCUCACUAGGCGAAUGAAUUUUACGCCAUCAUCGAGUAGUGUUCUCUGCUACAAACACUUUGAAGAUGCCUGCUUCCUUAACCGGUCUGCUUAUGAUCAAGGAUUUGCCAAAAAGCUCCUUCUGAAGGAUAGUGCAGUGCCAACAAUUCACCUGCCAGACACGGAUGCACUGCCACCAAAUACAUCUCAUCAAAAACAUGACUAUAGGACUUCAGUAUCAAAACCAAGGUCUGCCUAUUUAAAGAGGGAACGAUCACCUCAGCUAGAUGCUGGUUUGUCUGAGGCGUUGUUAUUGAACUGCCAAGAAGAUUUGGACAUUUCUGGGAUUGAGUCAUUGGAAUCAGCAACUGCUGAUAAGGGAUGUCAAACUGUAAAGAUAAUCCAGCAGAAACGCCGAAAAAAGGAAAAAAAGUGUUGCAAGUCAGUCGCCACCCAGUUUCCCGAAAUCAAGAAAGUGGGUCGAGGCAGAUGAUGAUACAACAUCCAGCUUCCUCUGAAUUUCCUCCAGUGAGACAUCCUUUUUCUUUGGUGGAGCCAAGGGGAAGUCACCCUUACCGUCUGGUGUCGGGGUACCGAGGAGUACCUCAAAGGCCUGGCCAGAGGCUCGCUUGUCAAGCUCCUUGACCUGGAUAUCUACCGAGGGAGGUCAAAUCAACUCAGCUAGUCAAAUAUGUCAUCAUUAUUAUAAUUUAGAAUAAUUCUGACAUAGUUACCUUCGGGGGCUGCCAUUUUGUUUUGAUUAUUCUUGUUAAUUUUCCUUAAAAGGAGAAAAUGUAGAAAAAAAAUGUUAGGACUAACUUGUUCACUGAUUGACAAAACAAGUGAAAUUUAAGCUCAAUGAUGACACCCGGUGGCCUUCCAUAAAACUGCAAUCAACCACCGCCCAUCUACAAAUAAAUAAAUAAAUAAAACAACGGUCUUGGUCCACAUGCAGUGUGUAUUUCCCCCCGAUUAUAAAAUGAAGUCGAAAGGAAUAAACAAAUAUUAGAAUUGAAAGGUGGAUGGUUAAAUGUGUGUGUUGACAGAUCGUUUGGAGCACAUGCGAAUGAUACCUAUUACACAAUAACCACGCAUAUAAGCAAUCAGUGGGCAUUUCAGAGGAACCCCUGAAUUUAAUGAAGCAACGGUUUCCCGUCAGUAAAUUACAUGUAGGUGAUGGAUGUUUGCACGCCGAUGAACGAUGUAAGGAACGGCAAUAUAAAUCAUGUACACACAUUUGUGUACAUUCAUAUGAACACUUGCCACAAAUGAUAAUCCCGGAGACCCCACCCAAUCUAAAUCGAUGUCUUAAAAAGCGAUCAAAGUUAGUUUUUAAGGAUAACAAAAGUAAUAUUUAUUUGUUGUCAUGACCUCAUUACAGAUCAUCUCUGUUGUUCGACGCCCUAGCUGCUUUCACCGGAUGGCGCGCUAUUGUGGUGCCGCAUUUACUUUUUUGUUUUUGGCAUGGCCAGAGCAACAAUGUUGGAUUAUGUUAGUCUGCUGUCCUGCUGUUACCCCCAACACCCAAACACACACGCGCACACACCCUCCGUAACACACACAUGACAGCCACCGCUCAAACAAAGACGCCUUGACAGCGCCGCGUAGAACAGCAGCCAACAAAGGAUGACACAAUUAAAAUAGUUGUUUGCUUUGCCGUGGCGAAAGUGAUGCCUUGUACAAGGUCCCAGAAGCUUAUUAUCCUCAUUCAUACAUCGACUAACAUACAAACCAAAAUGGUAUUCGUCAAAUCCACUUACACAAAGCAAUAAUAAAGCGCUACAAAUGAAGCCAUCGCAUGCCGUACGGACAAUCUCGGCGUUUUAAUAAUGCAUUGCCCACAUAACACAAAAAUAAAUAAAUACAAUGUUGACAAAAUAUGAAGGGAAUACGUGCAUCAUCUCUCCAAACAGCAUACUUACAAAUGUGUUCCGCGAGCUGUAACCAAUGUGCCUUUGCUCACACCACCUUCCAGUGUAUAUUUGACUGGACGCCUCUUGCACAUAAAUCGCACGAGUCUGGCACUGGCAGCACCCACAUUAAAACUGCAUGUCACAGCCAAUGUCGUCAUACCGUUUACACAGCCAUUGGUUGAUUCGUGUGCUCAUGCAUACACUGAAAAGAAGUACUCUGAAAUUAAUAUAAUUAAUAAUUAAAUGCUCGAACGAUCAUACAUAUUCAAAUGUUUGUAUACCUUACAUAGUUGAAGGGACUACACAGGAUUUUUAUUUUUAAUUUAAAAUAUUUUUCUGCUCAUACGUACAUAUUCCACCAAUGCCCUGAUUCAAUGGCGGUUCCUGGCAGGGUCGGUUUGGGCGGUCGCCCGGGGCUGCAAAUUGAUAGGGGCGCAUGCACGCCAGGUGCAUGCGAGUGAUUGUCUACAAUUAUAAUUGGCGCCCCUACCGUCGCAAUGACGCCCCCUGCAGACCGUAGUGACUGUCUGCACGCAACGCCACAAAUAGAAGGAGGCUUUUCAAUUUUCCCAUAGCCUUUUCAAGCUUUUUGGAGCUCAACAAUUUUUUUCACUGGUGUAUUUCGAAAACUCUCUGGUCUUACCUAUGGUAGCAGUUGGAUUAUGACUGACUGUAGGGUGCACAUGUGACAAUAUUGAGCUGAAACGGGUGGUGGGUGGGUGGUUACUAAUGGGGUAAAGGUGGACUUUACUUCAGGUAGAAUGACAACUCUUUAAGUGUCAUAAUUAUUGCUGAUUCUCAGAGGUACAAAUAGUUAUGAACCCCAGUAAACUACAAAUAAAUUUUAUAAAUUUAAAAAUAAAUAUAUAUAUUUUUUAUAGAUUAUUUCUGUUUAAGUAGAAGUGCAUAUAUGAUUGAAAUUUCAGACCUCUACCUAUUUUUUAAGUGGGUGAACUUGCAAAAUCACAAGGGGUGCAAAUACUUCUGCUCCUCACUGUAUAUAUUAGAGGUGGGAACCAACGAGGUAAUUUUGGGCCUUUACAGGUCACUUUUUGAUUUUCAGUCACUUCCUGGUGUUUUGGGUUACUGAACAGGAAGUGACCCAGGAAUGAAUAGGCAGUGAGUCAAAUUUAACAGGAAGUGACCUGUAAAUGCCCUAAAAUGAUCAGAAAGUGAACAGUAAAUGCCCAAAAAUCAGAAAGAGUGUCUGUGAAUGCACUGGUUUCGAAUGAACAAACGUUCUUUCGCCCCUCCCAGUCUUAAUGGAUUGGGCGUUCAGCACCGUCAAUGGCAGCCCCAGAGUUAAUUGAAAUACUUUUGUGGUG
This is a long non-coding RNA of Corythoichthys intestinalis (scribbled pipefish), 3562 nucleotides long. RefSeq lists it as uncharacterized. The record is from RefSeq and is a predicted model, not a curated record. Lineage: Eukaryota; Metazoa; Chordata; Actinopteri; Syngnathiformes; Syngnathidae. The transcript is spliced from 4 exons.